This 564-nucleotide long non-coding RNA is filed under the name Rosa chinensis. RNAcentral describes it as "sRNA RchiOBHm_Chr1g0374541". Lineage: Eukaryota; Viridiplantae; Streptophyta; Magnoliopsida; Rosales; Rosaceae. The record is from RNAcentral.
AUGAUAGGGCCACCAUGCCUCAUCUGUGCAACCCCAGCUUUUUGGCUGGUUGCUGUUCCAUUACUUGCGGGUAGAGGUGGCAGUAGAGAGAGAGAUAGAAGCUUUGCUUCCUGUUCUUGAGCCAAUUUUGCGCCACAAUUUCUCUCCGGCCCCAAAUCUUUCCCACCAAUCUAGCUUAUCCCGAUAAUGAGAGUGAGAGAUAAGGAGAGCUUAAGGCAUUGAUGAGAAGCUUUGUGUUUUUUAAUACCUGAUAUUUGGUGGCGUUUAGGGUUUUGCUUCUCUUAUUUAACCCUACCUGUUCUCCAUUUUUCCAUUCGUCAACUUUUACCUUUCUUGGCUCAUCCUCGGGAUCGAUACCCGACAGCUCGAGCGACAUCCUUGGCCAAAGCUUUUUUGGGGACCAGAAAACCAAGUGCGGGCGGGGGUUCAAUUCCCGAGGGAGGGAAGAGUUUAUCAGAAGCCACAAGCAUAAACAAAGAACGAGUGAGGUAGACCAGUUUGAUUCAUAACACCAUUCAAUAUCUUUGACGAAGAAGGAUUUAGUUUCCUGUUGGAGGAAGACUG